RNAcentral lists this transfer RNA (70 nucleotides) under Marmota monax (woodchuck). RNAcentral describes it as "tRNA.Ala". The stretch from base 8 to 63 matches the Rfam family "tRNA", at positions 8 to 63 of the family's 71-position model. From Rfam's summary of the family: Transfer RNA (tRNA) molecules are approximately 80 nucleotides in length. Their secondary structure includes four short double-helical elements and three loops (D, anti-codon, and T loops). Further hydrogen bonds mediate the characteristic L-shaped molecular structure. tRNAs have two regions of fundamental functional importance: the anti-codon, which is responsible for specific mRNA codon recognition, and the 3' end, to which the tRNAs corresponding amino acid is attached (by aminoacyl-tRNA synthetases). tRNAs cope with the degeneracy of the genetic code in two manners: having more than one tRNA (with a specific anti-codon) for a particular amino acid; and 'wobble' base-pairing, i.e. permitting non-standard base-pairing at the 3rd anti-codon position. Lineage: Eukaryota; Metazoa; Chordata; Mammalia; Rodentia; Sciuridae. The record is from RNAcentral.
GAGAUUAUGGCUCAGUGGUAGAGCGCUCACCUAGCACGAGAGGGGCCUGGGUUCAAUCCUCAGCACCACA